Molecule: small RNA, 421 nt
Filed under: Pan troglodytes (chimpanzee)
Lineage: Eukaryota; Metazoa; Chordata; Mammalia; Primates; Hominidae
Description: processed transcript
Source: RNAcentral
UUUGGCUUAUGGUUCUGCAGGCUGUACAAGAAGCAUGCUGCCAACAUCUGCAUCUGAUAUCCUUGGUGGAUGAAUUAAAAACCUGGUGCAUGUUAAAGAUUCAGAAUCUGGAGCAGAAGCUUUCUGGAGAUUCUAGGGCCUGCAGAGCUAAAUCCACACCAUCUACUUGCGAGUCCUCUACAGGUAACCCACACACAGAGAGCCCUUUUGUCCAAAAGGAACACGACCAGCAGCUCUUGUACUCUCCUGCACUGAAAGGCAGUACGUAUGCUAGGGCUGUGGGAAACACUGGAUGGUAAAGUGCACUCUGUAGGGGCAAGGACUAUAUUUUGCUCGUAACCGUAUACUCAGUUGCUAUAUAAUAAUAAAGCACUCAUUUAUGUGCUCAAACUUAUUUGAAUAAAGGAAUUAAAGAAUUGUU